Paramuricea clavata is the source of this 218-nucleotide non-coding RNA. NCBI's taxonomy places the organism in Eukaryota, Metazoa, Cnidaria, Anthozoa, Malacalcyonacea, Plexauridae. The record is from the annotation of a GenBank genome assembly.
CAAUCUAGUUUUCACGUGCAUUCGGUUGUAAUAUACCAUUUCCUGAUACAUAUUUUCCACCCUCUCUCCCCCCCCACCCGUUUCAAUGUUUGCGCCGCGUAUCCAGACAUCCGAUUUUUGUUGGACCAACAUUGAACUGGGGGAACGGGGGGGCGCUAUUCCUUUCAAAUUAUAUGAAAUUACAGCAGCUGUCCCAUAGUUUCUGGCAAAGAUUGUAG